AGAGUUUGAUCCUGGCUCAGAACGAACGCUGGCGGCAUGCCUAACACAUGCAAGUCGAACGCGUGUAGCAAUACACGAGUGGCGGACGGGUGAGUAACGCGUGGGAACCUGCCCAAUGGUAGGGAAUAACUGCGGGAAACUGCAGCUAAUACCCUAUGCUCCCUACGGGGGAAAGAUUUAUCGCCAUUGGAGGGGCCCGCGUCGGAUUAGCUAGUUGGCGGGGUAACGGCCCACCAAGGCUACGAUCCGUAGCUGGUCUGAGAGGAUGAUCAGCCACACUGGGACUGAGAUACGGCCCAGACUCCUACGGGAGGCAGCAGUGGGGAAUAUUGGACAAUGGGGGAAACCCUGAUCCAGCAAUGCCGCGUGAGUGAAGAAGGCCUUAGGGUUGUAAAGCUCUUUCGGCGGGGACGAUGGUGACGGUACCCGCAGAAGAAGCCCCGGCUAACUUCGUGCCAGCAGCCGCGGUAAUACGAAGGGGGCUAGCGUUGUUCGGAAUCACUGGGCGUAAAGGGCGCGUAGGCGGCGCGACAAGUCAGGCGUGAAAGCCCCGGGCUCAACCCGGGAAUUGCGCUUGAUACUGUCGUGCUUGAGGCCGGGAGAGGAUGGCGGAAUUCCCAGUGUAGAGGUGAAAUUCGUAGAUAUUGGGAAGAACACCGGUGGCGAAGGCGGCCAUCUGGACCGGUUCUGACGCUGAGGCGCGAAAGCGUGGGGAGCAAACA
This 722-nucleotide ribosomal RNA is filed under the name uncultured bacterium. Its description in RNAcentral is "bacterial SSU rRNA". It matches the Rfam family "Bacterial small subunit ribosomal RNA", at positions 8 to 774 of the family's 1533-position model. The record is from RNAcentral.